Echinops telfairi (small Madagascar hedgehog) is the source of this 1487-nucleotide long non-coding RNA. RefSeq lists it as uncharacterized. The transcript has 4 exons. The record is from RefSeq and is a predicted model, not a curated record. Lineage: Eukaryota; Metazoa; Chordata; Mammalia; Afrosoricida; Tenrecidae.
AUUCCCAUUACAGACUAGAGUUUCUGAUGUCUCCGUGACGCCAUUGCUCGGAACUGACCCAGCCCGGACCAAGGUGAAGUUGAUGGACUCGACCAAGGCCUCUGCUGACGCGUCUUUUUUGUUCCCCUUUUCUCCAGGUCCCCGAGUCCCGCAGCAUGGUGGCGCAGGGAGUGGGUGCUGGACUGCUAACCGCAAGGUCAGCAGUUCAAAACCCCUAGUCACUCCCCCGGCGAGAACGAGGCUUUUUAAAACUGCCGUAAAGCGUUGCCGGGUCCCGAUGGCCGUGAGAGCCCGCCAGGCAUCUGCCUGCAGCACCACAAGUGCCUCGGUCCGUCAAGCUGUUGUCAUUGAAUAAAGUGAGAGCCACGGGAGCUCAGCCAGUACCCUUUCCAGCAUGGCGGCCUUAACUCGAUUACUGAAGGACUGGAGUCUGCCUGCUUCUUGCAGAAGCACUUUCAGAUGCCCCUUCUAAAGCAUGGCAGCCGUGGAUUUUACACACACCCAAGAAUGUGUCACCUGCCUGGGGUUGGACGGAUCCUGAGGACUUGACAUCGGCUUGUGUAUUAGCACGAGCAACUGACAACUGAAGGAGAUCUCUAGAAGUGCUGGAUGACUUAGUGACGAGCAGGUGGCUUUCACCCGUAUUUCGUUAUCUUAUACAAGUGCCUGCUUUUUAGUCGAUUGCAAUAAAAUGUUGAUAAGUGGCUUUUUUUGUCUUUCUGGAAAUAAGAUGGUACAAAACUAUUGGAGAUGGUGAAGGGUAUAAUGCCCUAUUGACUUUUAACAUUGGGGUUUUGAUGGUGCUGAAUAAUAUCAUGGGCCCCUAAUUGGCCUUUUGAUGUAUCCAUGGAAAGAUCAUUUCUCUUAGAGGGGAUUCUGUUCAUGGUGCUCAUCAGGAUAUGAGCAUUUAACAAUUUUAGGCACCUUGUACCUGCGAGGACAGGAGCCCUAGUAGGGAAUUACUCUCUUAGAGGUGUCAGCAGCCUGCUCUGCAGGAGAGCGAUAGGGGCUUUCUACCUCUAGAAAGAGUUGUCAGGAAUAGACAGUUCUACCCUGUCCUGUGAGGUUUGAGAUUUUUACACCCUAGAAGGUAUGAAGUGCCUGCUAGAGAUGCUGAUGUGUGGUCCGAAUGGAAUGUCAGUUCUUAACCCCUCACUUGACACUCCAAAAUGUCCCAAGUUAAAUACUGUGAUUUUUUUAAUGGGUGUAAUUUUUAAAAAUCAUUUUACUGCGAGCUCAUACAUAAAUAGGUAAUUUUUGUUAAAAUUCUAAGUCCCUCACUGGUUCCUUGGAGUUUUAGAAUAUACAUGGUUAAUAACGGCUUCCUAUGUUCCCACCUUGCUUCUUUCAGCCUUGUUAGCCAUUCAUUCACUGCACUGCUCUAGCCCUUUCCCCCCCUAGUCCCCAUCAUUUUACCUGUGCUCCGCUCACCCACCCCACUGCCCCUGCUCUGGAUCUGCUGUCACAAUAAUCUGCAUAUAACCCCC